GGGUGCGAUCAUACUAGCACUAAUGCAUGGUAUCCCAUCAGAACUCCGCAUUAAAGCGUGCUUGGGCGAGAGUAGUACCAAGAUGGGUGACCCCCUGGGAAGUCAUCGUGUUACACCCC
Molecule: ribosomal RNA, 119 nt
Filed under: Gossypium raimondii (Peruvian cotton)
Lineage: Eukaryota; Viridiplantae; Streptophyta; Magnoliopsida; Malvales; Malvaceae
Source: RNAcentral